This 679-nucleotide ribosomal RNA is filed under the name Weissella confusa. RNAcentral describes it as "bacterial SSU rRNA". It matches the Rfam family "Bacterial small subunit ribosomal RNA", at positions 52 to 686 of the family's 1533-position model. The record is from RNAcentral. Lineage: Bacteria; Bacillati; Bacillota; Bacilli; Lactobacillales; Lactobacillaceae.
UAAAUGCAGUCGAACGCUUUGUGGUUCAACUGAUUUGAAGAGCUUGCUCAGAUAUGACGAUGGACAUUGCAAAGAGUGGCGAACGGGUGAGUAACACGUGGGAAACCUACCUCUUAGCAGGGGAUAACAUUUGGAAACAGAUGCUAAUACCGUAUAACAAUGACAACCGCAUGGUUGUUAUUUAAAAGAUGGUUCUGCUAUCACUAAGAGAUGGUCCCGCGGUGCAUUAGCUAGUUGGUAAGGUAAUGGCUUACCAAGGCGAUGAUGCAUAGCCGAGUUGAGAGACUGAUCGGCCACAAUGGGACUGAGACACGGCCCAUACUCCUACGGGAGGCAGCAGUAGGGAAUCUUCCACAAUGGGCGAAAGCCUGAUGGAGCAACGCCGCGUGUGUGAUGAAGGGUUUCGGCUCGUAAAACACUGUUGUAAGAGAAGAAUGACAUUGAGAGUAACUGUUCAAUGUGUGACGGUAUCUUACCAGAAAGGAACGGCUAAAUACGUGCCAGCAGCCGCGGUAAUACGUAUGUUCCAAGCGUUAUCCGGAUUUAUUGGGCGUAAAGCGAGCGCAGACGGUUAUUUAAGUCUGAAGUGAAAGCCCUCAGCUCAACUGAGGAAUUGCUUUGGAAACUGGAUGACUUGAGUGCAGUAGAGGAAAGUGGAACUCCAUGUGUAGCGGUGAAA